RNAcentral lists this unclassified non-coding RNA (449 nucleotides) under Hevea brasiliensis (rubber tree). Lineage: Eukaryota; Viridiplantae; Streptophyta; Magnoliopsida; Malpighiales; Euphorbiaceae. The record is from RNAcentral.
CGCCAGUGUACAUAUCCUGGCCUUCGUAGGAUCUAAAUUCAGUCAACUGCGUCUGAAUCGACUGAGCAAUCUGCAUAACGAAAGCAGGAGGCAGCUUCAAGUCUUUUGCGGUCCUUUUAGCGAACACCACCACCUCAGAAUCAGGAUCGGAAGGAUUCCAAGUGAAAGCAUCUUUGAAGCGGUGGCCAUCGAUUUCUAUGUCCAGUCGAAUUGGUACUAAAUUCUCCGCUGUUGGCAUUCUGAACUUGACAGGUGCUUUUGAAGACGUAGGUGGCAGGGCUUUCAUUUUAAUUUGUGAUCUUCCGUCUGCAAACAAACUAGUUGGGAGGGAAUCAAAGCUCAAUUUGCUCUUGCUACGUUUCUUUACCUCGCAACUGACACAAGACGAAGGGCAUUAAUCAGAGAUUGGCAGCUUGUUUGGAAAUUCAGGUCAAGAACGGACGGGUAAG